AGAAACCCUAGUGCAUCGUGGUUGAGAGGAGCUAACGAUAAGCAAUAUUAAUCGAUGGAGCGUGAUGAGGAUGAUUCUAAAUUUUCAGAUUUUAAUGAUCGGAAAUCAAUACUUACCUCCUACUCAUUCUGAGCGCUCGCUUAGAGAAAAUUCGAUUUUCUCUGUGUUGUAGUGUUUUAAGCUUUAAUUUCGGCACUGAAGAGUUUAUUUUGCAACUUGGCACAUUGAGGAAUUAUGUCUGAACUAAUGUGCCGAGUUCGACAGAUCUGUGAGGUUUGUUAGUUAGAUAAAGUCCUUUUCAUUCUGAGUGCCGCUUGUGUUAUUGGCCUGUUUGGGACUUAUACGUCACUCCUUUUGGCUUGCUUCCUUUUGAUGCCCUAGGGAUGAACGAGUCCCUGAUAUUCUUCCAUCCUAUUUUCUUUUUCACUUGGUCAGACGAUUAUGUUGAUCAUCUUUUAGGGAUGGGAAAUUAUUUUCUGUUUCUUUUAUUCUUUUUAUCUAGGGUUGCUGGAAGCCUUAUUUUUUCUUCUUUUAUCUUGAAUUCAUGGCCGAUGAUGACAAAUGGAAAGGCUUGUUUCUCAAAACAUUCGCAGUGGCCGCCUGAGAGCUUUCGCCUUCGCCGGGCUUGAGAGCUUCUGCUGUUUCAAUCCUUCCUUGGAUGUCUGAGGCUUAA
Molecule: long non-coding RNA, 673 nt
Organism: Nelumbo nucifera (sacred lotus)
Lineage: Eukaryota; Viridiplantae; Streptophyta; Magnoliopsida; Proteales; Nelumbonaceae
Source: RefSeq, a predicted model, not a curated record